RNAcentral lists this small nucleolar RNA (280 nucleotides) under Trichophyton rubrum BMU01672. RNAcentral's name for it is "HACA-box snoRNA". Lineage: Eukaryota; Fungi; Ascomycota; Eurotiomycetes; Onygenales; Arthrodermataceae. The record is from RNAcentral.
GGUUGAUUAAUAAGAUAUUUACAUGCAAAUACAGCUUCAGCCUUUUUCUUUUUAGUAUAUUUACAUAUGGGUAGAGGUAUUUAUUACGGUUCAUAUCAAGGAUCAAGAAGUUUAACUUGAAACAUAGGUGUUGUAAUAUUUAUAGUUAUGAUAGUAACAGCUUUUUUAGGUUAUGUUUUACCUUUUGGUCAAAUGAGUUUAUGAGGUGCUACAGUUAUUACUAAUUUAUUAAGUGCUAUACCUUGAAUUGGUCAAGAUUUAGUAGAAUUUAUUUGAGGAG